AACGAACGCUGGCGGCAGGCUUAACACAUGCAAGUCGAACGGCAGCACAGCAGAGCUUGCUCUGUGGGUGGCGAGUGGCGGACGGGUGAGGAAUACAUGGGAAUCUGCCCAGUCGUGGGGGAUAACGUAUGGAAACGUACGCUAAUACCGCAUGCGCCCUACGGGGGAAAGUCGGGGACUGCAAGGCCUGGCGCGAUUGGAUGAGCCCAUGUUCGAUUAGCUAGUUGGCGGGGUAAAGGCCCACCAAGGCGACGAUCGAUAGCUGGUCUGAGAGGAUGAUCAGCCACACUGGAACUGAGACACGGUCCAGACUCCUACGGGAGGCAGCAGUAGGGAAUAUUGGACAAUGGGGGCAACCCUGAUCCAGCCAUGCCGCGUGAGUGAAGAAGGCCCUCGGGUUGUAAAGCUCUUUUGUCCGGAAAGAAAAGCAAUCGGUUAAUACCCGGUUGUUCUGACGGUACCGGAAGAAUAAGCACCGGCUAACUUCGUGCCAGC
This 495-nucleotide ribosomal RNA is filed under the name uncultured bacterium. RNAcentral's name for it is "bacterial SSU rRNA". It matches the Rfam family "Bacterial small subunit ribosomal RNA", at positions 29 to 512 of the family's 1533-position model. The record is from RNAcentral.